AGGGUCCUAGAAGAUGACUAGGUCGAUAGGCUAUAGAUGUAAAGGCAGUAAUGUCAUAGUCGAGUAGUACUAAUAACCCGUUAGCUUAUGUA
RNAcentral lists this ribosomal RNA (92 nucleotides) under Flavobacterium cucumis. RNAcentral describes it as "partial 23S rRNA. Bacterial LSU". It matches the Rfam family "Bacterial large subunit ribosomal RNA", at positions 2831 to 2925 of the family's 2925-position model. Lineage: Bacteria; Pseudomonadati; Bacteroidota; Flavobacteriia; Flavobacteriales; Flavobacteriaceae. The record is from RNAcentral.